GCGGAGGAAAAGAAACUAACAAGGAUUCCCUUAGUAGCGGCGAGCGAAACGGGAAUAGCCCAGCGCCGAAUUCCGCGAUCGUAACGGUCGCCGGAAAAUGUGGCGUUAAGAAGGGUCCGUCAUCUCGCGUAUCGACGACGCGUCCAAGUCCAUCUUGAACGGGGCCACCGCCCAGAGAGGGUGCCAGGCCCGUAGCGACCGUCAAACGUACGCGGGAGGAUCCCUUCCGAGAGUCGGGUUGCUUGAGAGUGCAGCCCUAAGCGGGUGGUAAACUCCAUCUAAGGCUAAAUAUGACCACGAGACCGAUAGCAAACAAGUACCGUGAGGGAAAGUUGAAAAGAACUUUGAAGAGAGAGUUCAAUAGUACGUGAAACCGUUCAGGGGUAAACCUGAAAAACCCGAAAGGUCGAACGGGGGAGAUUCAUUCGCGACGCGGCCGACGGGACCGAGCGUGUACGGGCGACGGAUCGCGGUCCUACCUACUCGUUAGGGAGGCGCCGCAACUCGCGCCCAACGUACGGUCCUGCGUCGCCGAACGCGUGCACUUCUCCCUUAGUAGAACGUCGCGAUCCGUUGGACGACGGCCUACGGCCCGCAAUUGUACAGUCCGCGAGCGCGGUUCGCGCCGAUACAGCUCGCGGGUACGCGCGGGGCCGAACGGCCCGUCCGACGGUAGAAUCGAAGACGCGGGGCCGCAAAUUUUUUUUUGCGUCCGUAGCGCGACGAGCUCGCGCCCGACAUCCGACGAUCGGAACAUAGUGGCCGAUCUCGGGUCGGCGCGGCUGCGGUCGCGCUUAUCUCGGACAGACCUCGAUCGUCGAUCGGCGACGCUAUCGCUUUGGGUACUUUCAGGACCCGUCUUGAAACACGGACCAAGGAGUCUAGCAUGUGCGCGAGUCAUUGGGAACGUACGAAACCCAAAGGCGAAAUUAACGUAAAGGUCCGCCUCGCGCGGACCUAGGGAAGAUGGGCGAACGGCGAUCGCUCGUCGUCGUCCCGCAUUCCCGGGACGUCUCGUUCUCAUUGCGAGAAGAGGCGUACCAAGAGCGUACACGCUGGGACCCGAAAGAUGGUGAACUAUGCCCGGUCAGGACGAAGUCAGGGGAAACCCUGAUGGAGGUCCGUAGCGAUUCUGACGUGCAAAUCGAUCGUCGGAACUGGGUAUAGGGGCGAAAGACUAAUCGAACCAUCUAGUAGCUGGUUCCCUCCGAAGUUUCCCUCAGGAUAGCUGGCACUCGUAAAAUCGUAACGAGUCUCAUCCGGUAAAGCGAAUGAUUAGAGGCAUUGGGGUCGAAACGACCUCAACCUAUUCUCAAACUUUAAAUGGGUGAGAUCUCCGGCUUGCUCGAAAGAUGAAGCCGCGAGAUUAUCUUAUUAGGAUCGGAGUGCCAAGUGGGCCAUUUUUGGUAAGCAGAACUGGCGCUGUGGGAUGAACCAAACGCCGAGUUAAAGCGCCYAAAUCGACGCUAAUGGGACACCAUGAAARGCGUUGGUAACUUAAGACAGCAGGACGGUGGCCAUGGAAGUCGGAAUCCGCCAAGGAGUGUGUAACAACUCACCUGCCGAAGUUACUAGCCCUGAAAAUGGAUGGCGCUGAAGCGUCGUGCUUAUACUCGGCCGUCAGCGGCAAGUGCGAACGAGCCUCACGGCUCUUUCAUAAAGCCCUGACGAGUAGGAGGGUCGCGACGGUGCGCGCAGAAGGGCUGGCCGCGAGGCCGUCUGGAGCCGCCGUCGGUGCAGAUYUUGGUGGUAGUAGCAAAUACUCCAGCGAGGCCCUGGAGGACUGAUGUGGAGAAGGGUUUCGUGUGAACAGCCGUUGCACACGAGUCAGUCGAUCCUAAGCUCUAGGCGAAAGCCGAGGUCGAUGCGGCAUUGGAUUCGUUAAAGCGACGAAGGGCGACACGACGAGAUAUAGACAAAUGAAAAACGUGCGAAAGCGGCGGCCAGUGAGAGAGAGAGNNNNNNNNNNNNNNNNNNNNNNNNNNNNNNNNNNNNNNNNNNNNNNNNNNNNNNNNNNNNNNNNNNNNNNNNNNNNNNNNNNNNNNNNNNNNNNNNNNNNGGUUCCUAUUCCGGAACCCGGCAGCGGAACCGUCUUAAAAUCGGGCCCUCGCAAGAGAGUUCGUCGGGGUAACCCAAAAUGACCCGGAGACGCCGUCGGGAAAUCGGGGAAGAGUUUUCUUUUCUGCAUGAGCGUUCGAGUUCCAUGGAAUCCUCUAGCAGGGAGAUAUGGUUUGGAACGCGAAGAGCACCGCAGUUACGGCGGUGUCCCGAUUUUCCCCUCGGACCUUGAAAAUCCGGGAGAGGGCCACGUGGAGACGUCGCGCCGGCUCGUACCCAUAUCCGCAGCAGGUCUCCAAGGU
RNAcentral lists this ribosomal RNA (2360 nucleotides) under Lycoperdinella subcaeca. Its description in RNAcentral is "partial 28S ribosomal RNA". It matches the Rfam family "Eukaryotic large subunit ribosomal RNA", at positions 50 to 1874 of the family's 3401-position model. The record is from RNAcentral. Lineage: Eukaryota; Metazoa; Arthropoda; Insecta; Coleoptera; Endomychidae.